GUCUACGGCCACACCUAGGCGAAAACACCAGUUCCCGUCCGAUCACUGCAGUUAAGCGUCUGAGGGCCUCGUUAGUACUAUGGUUGGAGACAACAUGGGAAUCCGGGGUGCUGUAGGCUCCU
RNAcentral lists this ribosomal RNA (122 nucleotides) under Schizosaccharomyces cryophilus. Lineage: Eukaryota; Fungi; Ascomycota; Schizosaccharomycetes; Schizosaccharomycetales; Schizosaccharomycetaceae. The record is from RNAcentral.